AGGAUGAACGCUGGCGGUCUGCUUAACACAUGCAAGUCGAACGGGCGUAGCAAUACGUUAGUGGCGGACGGGUGAGUAACGCGUGAGAAUCUACCUUCAGGACGGAGACAACAGUUGGAAACGACUGCUAACCCCCGAUGUACUGAAAAGGCAAAUAUUUAUAGCCUGAAGAAGAGCUCGCGUCCGAUUAGCUAGUUGGAGAGGUAAAAGCUCACCAAGGCGACGAUCGGUAGCUGGUCUGAGAGGACGAUCAGCCACACUGGGACUGAGACACGGCCCAGACUCCUACGGGAGGCAGCAGUGGGGAAUUUUCCGCAAUGGGCGAAAGCCUGACGGAGCAAGACCGCGUGGGGGAAGAAGGCUCUUGGGUUGUAAACCCCGUUUUCUCUGGAAGAAAGUUGUGAAAGCAGCCUGACGGUACCAGAGGAAUCAGCAUCGGCUAACUCCGUGCCAGCAGCCGC
This 461-nucleotide ribosomal RNA is filed under the name uncultured bacterium. Its description in RNAcentral is "SSU rRNA". It matches the Rfam family "Bacterial small subunit ribosomal RNA", at positions 26 to 518 of the family's 1533-position model. The record is from RNAcentral.